UACGGAGGGUGCGAGCGUUGUCCGGAAUUAUUGGGCGUAAAGAGCUCGUAGGCGGUCAGUCGCGUCUGCUGUGAAAACUCGGGGCUUAACUCCGGGCCUGCAGUGGGUACGGGCUGACUAGAGUGCGGUAGGGGAGACUGGAAUUCCUGGUGUAGCGGUGAAAUGCGCAGAUAUCAGGAGGAACACCGGUGGCGAAGGCGGGUCUCUGGGCCGUAACUGACGCUGAGGAGCGAAAGCGUGGGGAGCGAACAGG
Molecule: ribosomal RNA, 253 nt
Filed under: uncultured bacterium
Lineage: Bacteria
Description: partial 16S ribosomal RNA
Rfam family: Bacterial small subunit ribosomal RNA
Source: RNAcentral